This 232-nucleotide long non-coding RNA is filed under the name Sorghum bicolor (sorghum). Its description in RNAcentral is "long non-coding RNA (SBIC_LNC014972)". Lineage: Eukaryota; Viridiplantae; Streptophyta; Magnoliopsida; Poales; Poaceae. The record is from RNAcentral.
ACCCACUUUAUUCCCAACAAUUCAUUCAAUUAGUUCUAUAUUUCCAAAUAACAAUUGUAUACAACAGAAAUAUAUCUUGUUGCUAAUAGUUUAUCACACUUGAAUACGUGUGCAUACCCCUUCGUAGUCUGUAGCCAUACGUAUACAUUUUUGCGAUACAAGGAGAUACAAAAAACAAGUUUUCGCAAUGCCUGCUGCACCGAUGGAGGUGGGGCGGCUCCUCCACUGCUGG